Molecule: ribosomal RNA, 253 nt
Filed under: uncultured bacterium
Lineage: Bacteria
Description: partial 16S ribosomal RNA
Rfam family: Bacterial small subunit ribosomal RNA
Source: RNAcentral
UACGUAGGGUGCAAGCGUUAUCCGGAAUUAUUGGGCGUAAAGAGCUCGUAGGCGGUUUGUCGCGUCUGCUGUGAAAACCCGAGGCUCAACCUCGGGCCUGCAGUGGGUACUGGCAAACUAGAGUGCGGUAGGGGAGAUUGGAAUUCCUGGUGUAGCGGUGGAAUGCGCAGAUAUCAGGAGGAACACCGAUGGCGAAGGCAGAUCUCUGGGCCGUAACUGACGCUGAGGAGCGAAAGCAUGGGGAGCGAACAGG